This 218-nucleotide ribosomal RNA is filed under the name uncultured bacterium. RNAcentral's name for it is "partial 16S ribosomal RNA". It matches the Rfam family "Archaeal small subunit ribosomal RNA", at positions 474 to 692 of the family's 1478-position model. The record is from RNAcentral.
UACCAGCACCCCGAGUGGUCGGGACGUUUAUUGGGCCUAAAGCAUCCGUAGCCGGUUCUACAAGUCUUCCGUUAAAUCCACCUGCUUAACAGAUGGGCUGCGGAAGAUACUAUGGAGCUAGGAGGCGGGAGAGGCAAGCGGUACUCGAUGGGUAGGGGUAAAAUCCGUUGAUCCAUUGAAGACCACCAGUGGCGAAGGCGGCUUGCCAGAACGCCGUC